GAGGACUGAGGAUAAAGAAAACGUAAACAAUGGGUUGUUGGCUACUUCGGCUGAUCGAAAUGAUUUGUCCAUUUAUGCCAUUUGUGGCAUGGGUGGACUUGGAAAGACUACUCUUGCUCAACUGCUCUUCAAUGAUGAAAGGGUUAUAAG
Long non-coding RNA from Hibiscus syriacus, 150 nucleotides. RefSeq lists it as uncharacterized. The record is from RefSeq and is a predicted model, not a curated record. The transcript is spliced from 4 exons. NCBI's taxonomy places the organism in Eukaryota, Viridiplantae, Streptophyta, Magnoliopsida, Malvales, Malvaceae.